GGGGUUGUGGCUCAGUGGUAGAGCGCUUAUCUGGCAUGUGUGAGACACUGGGUUCUAUCCCCAGUACCA
Molecule: transfer RNA, 69 nt
Filed under: Ictidomys tridecemlineatus (thirteen-lined ground squirrel)
Lineage: Eukaryota; Metazoa; Chordata; Mammalia; Rodentia; Sciuridae
Description: Spermophilus tridecemlineatus (thirteen-lined ground squirrel) tRNA
Rfam family: tRNA
About the family: Transfer RNA (tRNA) molecules are approximately 80 nucleotides in length. Their secondary structure includes four short double-helical elements and three loops (D, anti-codon, and T loops).
Source: Rfam by way of RNAcentral